Molecule: long non-coding RNA, 374 nt
Filed under: Fukomys damarensis (Damara mole-rat)
Lineage: Eukaryota; Metazoa; Chordata; Mammalia; Rodentia; Bathyergidae
Description: lncRNA (ENSFDAG00000028202.1)
Source: RNAcentral
CACUUUGUUCCAUCUCUGUUUCAGUCACCUGCUGAGAAAUGGUAGAAGAAUCAAAAUAUCAGUGUGUUGUCUUAGACUGAAAGUGAAACCCUGAAGGAAUCUGCAUCCGUCAGUCGAUUUCCAAGCCCUUUCCAAUGUAAAAACACCGCGAGCCAUGACUUUAGAAGUAAAAUAUCCAGAAUGCCUACCACACUGAGCUCCAGCCAUGGGCAACACCACGUCUAACACGUGAUUGUUCCUCACUGUCCUGGGUGUCCCCAGCAUUCACGCAAGGGCUUAGCAGUGGUUGUGAAUGCACCAGAGCAGGAGAACGCUAUGAUGCAAUUGGCCAACAUGCAAUUAUGAGAAAGGCUUUCCAGGGUCAUCCCCAAGAC